GAGUUUGAUCAUGGCUCAGAUUGAACGCUGGCGGCAUGCCUUACACAUGCAAGUCGAACGGCAGCAUGAUCUAGCUUGCUAGAUUGAUGGCGAGUGGCGAACGGGUGAGUAAUACAUCGGAACGUGCCCUGUAGUGGGGGAUAACUAGUCGAAAGAUUAGCUAAUACCGCAUACGACCUGAGGGUGAAAGUGGGGACCACAAGGCCUCAUGCUAUAGGAGCGGCCGAUGUCUGAUUAGCUAGUUGGUGGGGUAAAGGCCCACCAAGGCGACGAUCAGUAGCUGGUCUGAGAGGACGAUCAGCCACACUGGGACUGAGACACGGCCCAGACUCCUACGGGAGGCAGCAGUGGGGAAUUUUGGACAAUGGGCGAAAGCCUGAUCCAGCAAUGCCGCGUGUGUGAAGAAGGCCUCGG
Molecule: ribosomal RNA, 414 nt
Filed under: uncultured microorganism
Description: bacterial SSU rRNA
Rfam family: Bacterial small subunit ribosomal RNA
Source: RNAcentral